GAGGACUUAGUGACGCAGCUAACGCAAUAAGUAGACCGCCUGGGGAGUACGGCCGCAAGGUUAAAACUCAAAUGAAUNGNCGGGGGCCCGCACNAGCGGUGGAGCAUGUGGUUUANUUNGAUGCAACGCGAAGAACCUUACCUGGUCUUGACAUACACAGAAUCUNGUAGAGAUACGAGAGUGCCUUCGGGAAUUGUGAUACAGGUGCUGCAUGGCUGUCGUCAGCUNGUGUCGUGAGAUGUUGGGUUAAGUCCCGCAACGAGCGCAACCCUUGUCCUUAGUUACCAGCGGGUUAAGCCGGGAACUNUAAGGAUACUNCCAGUGACAAACUGGAGGAAGGCGGGGACGACGUCAAGUCAUCAUGGCCCUUACGACCAGGGNUACACACNUGCUACAAUGGUAGGUACAGAGGGCAGCUACACAGCGAUGUGAUGCGAAUCUCAAAAAGCCUAUCGUAGUCCAGAUUGGAGUNUGCAACUCGACUCCNUGAAGUAGGAAUCGCUAGUAAUCGCGGAUCAGAAUGCCGCGGUGAAUACGUUCCCGGGCNUUGUACACACCGCCCGUCACACCAUGGGAGUUGAUUGCACCAGAAGUGGUUAG
This 600-nucleotide ribosomal RNA is filed under the name Psychrobacter celer. Its description in RNAcentral is "partial 16S ribosomal RNA". It matches the Rfam family "Bacterial small subunit ribosomal RNA", at positions 834 to 1433 of the family's 1533-position model. The record is from RNAcentral. Lineage: Bacteria; Pseudomonadati; Pseudomonadota; Gammaproteobacteria; Moraxellales; Moraxellaceae.